UACGGGGGGGGCAAGCGUUGUUCGGAAUUACUGGGCGUAAAGGGCUCGUAGGCGGCCAACUAAGUCCGACGUGAAAUCCCAAGGCUUAACCUUGGAACUGCGUCGGAUACUGGAUGGCUUGAAUUCGGGAGAGGGAUGCAGAAUUCCAGGUGUAGCGGUGAAAUGCGUAGAUAUCUGGAGGAAUACCGGUGGCGAAGGCGGCAUCCUGGACCGACAUUGACGCUGAUGAGCGAAAGCUAGGGGAGCAAGCGGG
Molecule: ribosomal RNA, 253 nt
Filed under: uncultured bacterium
Lineage: Bacteria
Description: partial 16S ribosomal RNA
Rfam family: Bacterial small subunit ribosomal RNA
Source: RNAcentral